Molecule: long non-coding RNA, 605 nt
Organism: Vicia villosa (hairy vetch)
Lineage: Eukaryota; Viridiplantae; Streptophyta; Magnoliopsida; Fabales; Fabaceae
Exons: 3
Source: RefSeq, a predicted model, not a curated record
CCGGAGGUCACUCCCUCUCUCCGAUCUAUGUUACGUGAAAGGACAAACAGCCUCCGUACACUCUCCUCUCUCGCUCUCGUCUUCUCUGAAGUCUCAACCUCUCUAGGCUCAAUCUCUCACUCUCUCACGAUGAUGCAAGCGGCGCGCGGCGGAGGAAGCCUCUAUCAUUUGUUCCGUUUCUGAUUCGCGAUGUUGUUAUUGUUGUUUGCAGGUGAAGAUGUGUCGCGAUGUUGCUCGCGAUUGUAGAUUCAGUGUUGUUUGUUGAUGCCGUGUUGUGCGACGAUGAAGAUUGAUGAUUGUCAAGGUUGAAGAGUUUUGAUUAUGGAGUGUGAAGUUUGCGAUGAUGAUGAUUGAAGUUUGCGAGCGCCACUACAAAGAUGAUGAUUGCACGUAUUGAGAGGCAUUACGAAGCUGAGAUCGAUGUUCUUGGAAGAAGAAGUGAAUUGGAGUGUGAAGGAGGAACUCGAUUCAGAUGUUGAAGAUGAUGAAUCGGUGAUGAAUUCCGGAUCGAGAGAAGGUUGUGAAGAUUGAAGGGAGCGUUGAGAUGAGUGAAGAUGCGAUGAAGAUGAAUCGGGAAUUGAGAGAGAGUUCCGAGAGUUUCUUUU